This 652-nucleotide ribosomal RNA is filed under the name uncultured bacterium. Its description in RNAcentral is "bacterial SSU rRNA". The stretch from base 1 to 557 matches the Rfam family "Bacterial small subunit ribosomal RNA", at positions 338 to 873 of the family's 1533-position model. The record is from RNAcentral.
CCUACGGGAGGCAGCAGUGGGGAAUAUUGGACAAUGGGCGAAAGCCUGAUCCAGCCAUGCCGCGUGUGUGAAGAAGGUCUUCGGAUUGUAAAGCACUUUAAGUUUGGGAGGAAGGGCAGUUACCUAAUACGUAUCUGUUUUGACGUUACCGACAGAAUAAGCACCGGCUAACUCUGUGCCAGCAGGCCGCGGUAAUACAGAGGGUGCAAGCGUUUAAAUCGGAAUUACUGGGCGUAAAGCGCGCGGUAGGUGGUUUGUUAAGUUGGAUGUGAAAUCCCCGGGCUCAACCUGGGAACUGCAUUCAAAACUGACAAGCUAGAGUAUGGUAGAGGGUGGUGGAAUUUCCUGUGUAGCGGUGAAAUGCGUAGAUAUAGGAAGGAACACCAGUGGCGAAGGCGACCACCUGGACUGAUACUGACACGUGAGGUGCGAAAGUCGUGGGGAGCAAACAGGAUUAGAUACCCUGGUAGUCCACGCCGUAAACGAUGUCAACUAGCCGUUGGGAGCCUUGNGCUCUUAGUGGUCGCGAGCGUACCGACGAUUAAGUUAGUACCGCCGUCGGGUAGGUACGGACCGGCGAAGGUUAAACGUACGAAAGUAGAAGUUAGUACGGCGUGAGACGUAGACCGACGGACGACGACGAGGGAGGAGG